This 420-nucleotide ribosomal RNA is filed under the name uncultured delta proteobacterium. RNAcentral describes it as "bacterial SSU rRNA". It matches the Rfam family "Bacterial small subunit ribosomal RNA", at positions 9 to 420 of the family's 1533-position model. The record is from RNAcentral. Lineage: Bacteria; Deltaproteobacteria.
GAGUUUGAUCGUGGCUCAGAGCGAACGUUAGCGGCGGGCCUAACACAUGCAAGUCGAACGGGCAGUAGCAAUACUGUCAGUGGCGCACGGGUGAGUAACGCGUAGAUAAUCUACCUUCCAGCGGGGGAUAACGUUCCGAAAGGAACGCUAAUACCGCAUAAGACCACGGGGUCCUCGGGCCUUGCGGGAAAAGGUGGCCUCUCCUUGGAAGCUACCACUGGAAGAUGAGUCUGCGUCCCAUCAGCUAGUUGGUGAGGUAAUGGCUCACCAAGGCGAAGACGGGUAGCUGGUCUGAGAGGAUGAUCAGCCACACUGGUACUGGACACGGACCAGACUCCUACGGGAGGCAGCAGUGGGGAUAUUGGGCAAUGGGCGAAAGCCUGACCCUAGCCACGACCGCGUGAGUGAUGAAGGCCUCGG